Molecule: ribosomal RNA, 800 nt
Filed under: uncultured ciliate
Lineage: Eukaryota; Ciliophora
Description: bacterial SSU rRNA
Rfam family: Eukaryotic small subunit ribosomal RNA
Source: RNAcentral
GCCAUGCAUGUCUAAGUAUAAGUUAUACACAGCGAAACUGCGAAUGGCUCAUUAAAACAGAAAUAAUUUAUUUGAUGAUCUUUUUACAUGGAUAACCGUGGGAAACUGGGGCUAAUACAUGCGUAAAGCCGCAAGGCUGUAUUUAUUAGUUUCAAUCCAAUUUAACAUCGUUAAAUUAGAGGAAUCAUAAUAACUAAUCGGAGCGAUGCAAGUCGCUACAUCAUUCAAGUUUCUGCCCUAUCAGCUUGAUGGUAGUGUAUUGGACUACCAUGGCUAUAACGGGUAACGGAGAAUUGGGGUUCGAUUCCGGAGAAGGAGCCUGAGAAACGGCUACUAUUUCUAAGGAAGGCAGCAGGCGCGUAAAUUACCCAAUCCUGAUUCAGGGAGGUAGUUAAUGGAAAUAACUAGUUCGUCUCAUUGAGAUUUGAACUUGUAAUGAGUUGAAUUUAGAUAAUUCUUCGAAUACUAUUGGAGGGCAAGUCUGGUGCCAGCAGCCGCGGUAAUUCCAGCUCCAAUAGCGUAUAUUUAAGUUGUUGCAGUUAAAAAGCUCGUAGUUGGAUUUCGGGUGGGUUGGCUAGGUCCGCCUCUGGUGUGCACUUGGUCGAUCCACCUUCCUGCCGGGGACGGGCUCCUGGGCUUAACUGUCUGGGACUCGGAGUCGGCGAUGUUACUUUGAGUAAAUUAGAGUGUUCAAAGCAAGCCUACGCUCUGAAUAUGUUAGCAUGGAAUAACGCGAUAGGACUCUGGCCUAUCCGUUGGUCUGUGGGACCGGAGUAAUGAUUAAGAGGGACAGUCGGGGG